AGAGUUUGAUCAUGGCUCAGGACGAACGCUGGCGGCGUGCCUAAUACAUGCAAGUCGAGCGGUAGCACAGGGAGCUUGCUCCUGGGUGACGAGCGGCGGACGGGUGAGUAAUGUCUGGGAAACUGCCUGAUGGAGGGGGAUAACUACUGGAAACGGUAGCUAAUACCGCAUAAUGUCGCAAGACCAAAGAGGGGGACCUUAGGGCCUCUUGCCAUCAGAUGUGCCCAGAUGGGAUUAGCUAGUAGGUGGGGUAACGGCUCACCUAGGCGACGAUCCCUAGCUGGUCUGAGAGGAUGACCAGCCACACUGGAACUGAGACACGGUCCAGACUCCUACGGGAGGCAGCAGUGGGGAAUAUUGCACAAUGGGCGCAAGCCUGAUGCAGCCAUGCCGCGUGUAUGAAGAAGGCCUUCGGGUUGUAAAGUACUUUCAGCGGGGAGGAAGGCGGUGAGGUUAAUAACCUCAUCGAUUGACGUUACCCGCAGAAGAAGCACCGGCUAACUCCGUGCCAGCAGCCGCGGUAAUAC
Molecule: ribosomal RNA, 527 nt
Filed under: uncultured bacterium
Lineage: Bacteria
Description: bacterial SSU rRNA
Rfam family: Bacterial small subunit ribosomal RNA
Source: RNAcentral